Molecule: ribosomal RNA, 500 nt
Filed under: uncultured Glomeromycotina
Lineage: Eukaryota; Fungi; Glomeromycota
Description: partial small subunit ribosomal RNA
Rfam family: Eukaryotic small subunit ribosomal RNA
Source: RNAcentral
CCAAUAGCGUAUAUUAAAGUUGUUGCAGUUAAAAAGCUCGUAGUUGAAUUUCGGGAUCAAUAUGUUGGUCGUGCCAUCGGUACGUACUGGCAUUAUUGGUUUCUACCUUCUGAAGAACCUCGAUGUCAUUAAUUUGGUGUCUUGGGGAAUCAGGACUGUUACUUUGAAAAAAUUAGAGUGUUUAAAGCAGGCUCGCGCUUGAAUACAUUAGCAUGGAAUAAUGAAAUAGGACGUUUGAUUCUAUUUUGUUGGUUUCUAGGAUCGACGUAAUGAUUAAUAGGGAUAGUUGGGGGCAUUAGUAUUCAAUUGUCAGAGGUGAAAUUCUUGGAUUUAUUGAAGACUAACUACUGCGAAAGCAUUUGCCAAGGAUGUUUUCAUUAAUCAAGAACGAAAGUUAGGGGAUCGAAGACGAUCAGAUACCGUCGUAGUCUUAACCAUAAACUAUGCCGACUAGGGAUCGGAUGAUGUUAAUUUUUUAAUGACUCAUUCGGCGCCUUACG